RNAcentral lists this ribosomal RNA (474 nucleotides) under uncultured bacterium. RNAcentral describes it as "bacterial SSU rRNA". It matches the Rfam family "Bacterial small subunit ribosomal RNA", at positions 335 to 799 of the family's 1533-position model. The record is from RNAcentral.
ACUCCUACGGGAGGCAGCAGUGGGGAAUAUUGGACAAUGGGCGAAAGCCUGAUCCAGCCAUGCCGCGUGUGUGAAGAAGGUCUUCGGAUUGUAAAGCACUUUAAGUUGGGAGGAAGGGCAGUAAGUUAAUACCUUGCUGUUUUGACGUUACCGACAGAAUAAGCACCGGCUAACUCUGUGCCAGCAGCCGCGGUAAUACAGAGGGUGCAAGCGUUAAUCGGAAUUACUGGGCGUAAAGCGCGCGUAGGUGGUUUGUUAAGUUGGAUGUGAAAGCCCCCGGGCUCAACCUGGGAACUGCAUCCAAAACUGGCAAGCUAGAGUACGGUAGAGGGUGGUGGAAUUUCCUGUGUAGCGGUGAAAUGCGUAGAUAUAGGAAGGAACACCAGUGGCGAAGGCGACCACCUGGACUGAUACUGACACUGAGGUGCGAAAGCGUGGGAGCAAACAGGAUUAGAUACCCCUGGUAGGAUAGCG